This 274-nucleotide ribosomal RNA is filed under the name uncultured bacterium. RNAcentral's name for it is "partial 16S ribosomal RNA". It matches the Rfam family "Bacterial small subunit ribosomal RNA", at positions 523 to 796 of the family's 1533-position model. The record is from RNAcentral.
AUACGGAGGGUCCAAGCGUUAUCCGGAUUCAUUGGGUUUCAAGGGUCCGCAGGCGGGAAAAUAAGUCAGUGGUGAAAGCCUACAGCUCAACUGUAGAACUGCCAUUGAUACUGUUCUUCUUGAGUAUAGAUGAAGUGGGCGGAAUAUAUCAUGUAGCGGUGAAAUGCAUAGAUAUGAUAUAGAACACCGAUUGCGAAGGCAGCUCACUAAACUAUUACUGACGCUCAGGGACGAAAGCGUGGGGAGCGAACAGGAUUAGAUACCCUAGUAGUCC